GCCUUCGUGGUGUAGUGGGCAACACGCUGGGCGCGUAUUCCAGAGGUCCGUGGUUCGAGUCCCGGCGAAGGCG
Molecule: transfer RNA, 73 nt
Filed under: Stegodyphus mimosarum
Lineage: Eukaryota; Metazoa; Arthropoda; Arachnida; Araneae; Eresidae
Rfam family: tRNA
About the family: Transfer RNA (tRNA) molecules are approximately 80 nucleotides in length. Their secondary structure includes four short double-helical elements and three loops (D, anti-codon, and T loops). Further hydrogen bonds mediate the characteristic L-shaped molecular structure. tRNAs have two regions of fundamental functional importance: the anti-codon, which is responsible for specific mRNA codon recognition, and the 3' end, to which the tRNAs corresponding amino acid is attached (by aminoacyl-tRNA synthetases). tRNAs cope with the degeneracy of the genetic code in two manners: having more than one tRNA (with a specific anti-codon) for a particular amino acid; and 'wobble' base-pairing, i.e. permitting non-standard base-pairing at the 3rd anti-codon position.
Source: Rfam by way of RNAcentral